GAAAACGGAAGCGACAGUCGACGACGGACAGUGGCACAACACAAAAGGGGAUCAGCCACAGCUGGCAUAUUCCCGCCAAACUGACGUCCACGACUCCACCCAUCUCGUCCUUCCGCCACGUGGCAAUGAGGCGGGCCCCACCACCGCUGCAACCUCUUCACGAAAUCUGUACGUCUCCAUUCUCAUUCACCGAUGUAGUAUUGGCGGUGAGGCUCCUCUCGCUUAAGACCGUCUGUUCAACUCUCGAACCAUUCGGUCACUUCCAUUCCAUCAUGAACAAACUUUAGGGAUUGAAGGAUAGGAUCUGGUUCUUGUCUCUCCCGUCGACUCUGCUUCUCGAUUCUAAUGGAGUCUCAAGAGAGUUUCAGUGUGUCAGGCUUGGAGGGAUUUUCAGGCGUUAAUGGAACCAAAGAGCAAAAAUCGGACUUUGAAAUCUCAGAAGAUGAAAGGAGGACAAGAAUUGGGACUUUGAAGAAAGCAGUUAGUGCAUCUAAUAACUUUAAGCAUUCGCUGGGGAAGAAAACCAGAACGGAAAGUGAAAACCAGAGUUCUCUUCCAAUAGAGGAUGUUCGUGAUGCUAAGGAGCUGAAGGUGGUAGAUGCUUUCCGAGAAGAAUUAAUAGUGAAUGACUUACUACCUGUGAGACAUGAUGAUUAUCAUAUGAUGUUGAGAUUUUUAAAAGCAAGGAAUUAUGAUAUUAAGAAAGCAAAGCACAUGUGGAUUCAGAUGCUUCAGUGGAGAGAAAAUUUUGGUACCGACACCAUCAUAGAGGAUUUUGAGUUCAAAGAGUUGAAUGAAGUUCUACAGUACUACGCACAGGGUUAUCAUAGUGUUGAUAAGGAGGGAAGGCCUAUUUACAUUGAAAAACUAGGAGAACUUGAUCCAAACAAGCUCAUGAAAGUGACAACUUUGGAUCGGCUUGUGAAAUACCAUGUACAGGAGUUUGAAAAGACUCUUGCUAUAAAGUUUCCAGCCUGCUCCAUUGCUGCAAAGAGACACAUAGAUUCAACUACAACUAUUUUAGAUGUUCAAGGCGUGGGUUUGAAAAAUGUGAGCAAGCCUGCACGAGAGGUUAUUUUGCACCUCCAGAAAAUUGAUAAUGACAACUAUCCUGAGACACUUUGCCGUAUGCUCAUUGUGAAUGCUGGUCCCGCCUUUAAGCUGCUAUGGAACACAAUCAAACCUUUUCUUGAUCCAAAAACAGCUUCGAAGAUUCAUGUUCUUGGCAGCAAAUACCAAUGCAAAUUGCUUGAAAUUAUUGAUGCGAGUGAGUUGCCUGAAUUUCUGGGUGGAAGCUGUACUUGUGUAGAUCAGGGAGGUUGUCUGAGGUCUGAUAAAGGACCAUGGAGAGACUCUGGCAUAUUUAAGAUGAUUAAGAAAAUUGAAGCGCAACAAUUGGAUCAAGAAGCAACCACAGCAGACAGAAGAAUAACUGGUGAUGAGAAGCCAUAUUACCAGAUGAUAAAGAGCGGGGGCACUUAUGCUGAAUCAGGAUCUGAAGCUGAAGAAAUUACUUCUCCUAAAGCGACAAGGAAACAUCCAGAUCCGAGAUUGACUCCUAUAAUUGAAGAAAUGAUGGAACUGAGCCAUGAUAAGUUGGGUGGAAGGUCUACAAUAAGAUGAACGCAACACAGCAUUAUCAAUUAUUAGCAAAUUGCACGCAGCAAAUCAUUAGAAAAUAUUCCAUCCGCAAUGUGAUUUUCUGUUGAUAGGCAUCAAUGGAAGCAAGCUGUACAUACAUCAGUUCUUCAGUGUUCUUGCUCUUUGAUAAAUUUAAAAGGCCCAUGCCAAAAUACUGAGUAAAAAAAGGCUCAUGCCAAAAUCACUUGAGCAGAGAAACGCAGUUAAAUUAGUAUUGAUCCCUAAUUGGCUAUUAUGACACGAUGUGUUCCGGUUCACUAUAUCCGGUUCAGUAAACAUAUUACAUCACUGUCUCUGUUGUCAUAGUUGACCUGCUUUAACUGUUAGGCUAGAGUGCUUGGAAAACGUAUUCUUGUUACUGCAUCUCUGGGAAUGAUGAAUUUGUCCCAGUCAUUGACAAGGCUGUGGAUGCAGGAUGUGAGAAACAAAUGUUCCUUCAAAAGCCCAAUGCUGCAAGAGGUUAGCAAACUUUUUCUUGUAAUUAUAUAUGUGUAUGCUAUUACCGAAUUUUAUUCAUAUUAGGAUCUAAUGGUGCUGUAUUUUGAAUGAUCUCUCUGCGACUGUCCUCUCUCCCUGUCUUAAUUCAUUUGAACUGAGCUUAUAAACAUUUAGGGUGCCCCAUUUUAUUCUAUCUUCUUAGAAGAAUAGGUGAAUAACUGCUGCCAAAUGACAUAGCAAACGUGGCACCCUUUUCAUUUAUUCUUAUUUUUGGCCAAAUGUUAUUUCCUUUCCCCUUAUUUGUCAGAUUUCCCAUUAGAAUGUCUAUUUCUAGGUUCAUUUAAACUGGCGUUAUAGCAUAAUUGGAACCACUUUGAGCUCAUUAACUCAGCUUGAUAAGAAGCUCUAGGUCCCUUGAACAACCAUCGAAGAACCUUGUUAUCAUACCUUUUCUUCCUGGGACUAAUUACCUACACUUCAUUUAUUGAUUGUUUCUCCAGUCAAAAUGCAGGUUACUUCUUUACCAGUUACGAUUUUGAUCGCAUCAGAAUAAUUAUAAGAGUUGAAAUUCUUUUACAGGCACAUUUCCUCUGCCAGGAGGGCAAAUAUCUCUGCCCGGACUUUGUAGUCAGAUUUGGGCAGCUCUUCUGGCCUUCCUUGUGUCCAUAUUUAAUCUAUUACAUUCACUGGCAUGCCAGGUGAUAAGAAAUAUUCAGAUUUAGCCUCUGAUUUAUCCAAGGCACCCCUAGCAAGGCAUUUGAACCAGCCCUGGUGCAGGAAUUCUCCCCUCCAAACUUUGGUUUCCCCAAGGCAGAUUCCUCAUCUGUCCUGCCGAGACUGGGUUCCCCAAUGCAUCUGUCCUGUCGCUUGGAUGCAUUGGAAGCAGAACUGAUUUCUGCUUAAAGGUAACUUCAAUCUCUUUACAUUUGUGGUUCUUUCAUAGUAACCGUAGGAAGGAAAUGUGAUUUAUUAUGCAUGAAUUGUAUUAGUCUGUAUAUGAUGUUGCUAUCCUCUAGGAUUUAGUGCACUUGGGCUGAUGGAAAUCCCAAAGACAGUUUUAGGUCUGCUAUUUCUCUGCUCCUUCAUUCAACAUCUUAGCCAGAGAGAAGUUACGUGAAAAAUAUGCACUGCCAAUUCUCAAUUCUCACAAAACAGGCAUACCCUCAUGGUGGAGAUGUCCUAAAAAAGGUACAACUCUUCACUUCGGAUGGGUACUGUGUUCUUAAUAUUUUUUACUUUUGCCCUUGUUCCAUCUUUGCAAAGGCACUUCAUGAAGCUUUAAUGAGGCAACAAGAACUGCUUACAUACGUGGACAGAAAAGAGGCCACUACAUUCCACAAAAAGUUUUGCUGGCAGGGAUUGAAGGAAGAUAGAUUUAGGCAAAGGAAAUUUUUUCUUUGAGAUUCAUAAAAUUUCAUAUUUAAAAUAUUGCAAAAUCUGAGCGCUCACAAGCAGUGGAGAUAAAGCUGCCUUAAUGCUUUUGUCGCAUGGUUAGUUGCCAUUUUCGGGCGUCCGCUGCUGUCUCCCAGACCCAGUCCCUCAUGCCAGGUGUAUUUUGUAGAGCUUUGUGUGGAGUGUGGCGAGUGUUAGCACAAGGAUGCCAUCAAGUUGUAUUCUCUUUAAUUAAGAUCAUCUUUUGUGUUUUUGUA
This is an RNA transcript of Diospyros lotus (date-plum), 3728 nucleotides long. It is a transcript of the gene named phosphatidylinositol/phosphatidylcholine transfer protein SFH6-like, with no coding region annotated. The record is from RefSeq and is a predicted model, not a curated record. The transcript has 13 exons. NCBI's taxonomy places the organism in Eukaryota, Viridiplantae, Streptophyta, Magnoliopsida, Ericales, Ebenaceae.